RNAcentral lists this long non-coding RNA (315 nucleotides) under Physcomitrium patens. RNAcentral's name for it is "long non-coding RNA (PPAT_LNC008668)". Lineage: Eukaryota; Viridiplantae; Streptophyta; Bryopsida; Funariales; Funariaceae. The record is from RNAcentral.
ACCUUACCAAGUAAUCCAUUGAUCUUAUUAGGAUUCUUUUGCAAAUUAGAGAGGAUUCUAGGUUGGUGUUUAUUUAUCAUUGCCAAAGUCUGAUGCAUCUGUGAAGGAGUUUUGUAGAGCAUCUUUCAAGAAAUUCAAUGCUAGGAUAGAGGUAGAGAGGUUUAUAAGCACCAAGUCUAGUAAUUGCUUCUUUCUUUCUAUUGGGAUGUCCUUGAGUUUGUUGUGAAUUAAAAUAAACCUUCAUUAGUUAGAAGACAAUUAUCAUCUACAAAUGAGUUUUCAUUUAAAAAUUCAUUCAUUCAACUUUCAUCCAUA